Molecule: ribosomal RNA, 484 nt
Filed under: uncultured bacterium
Lineage: Bacteria
Description: partial 16S ribosomal RNA
Rfam family: Bacterial small subunit ribosomal RNA
Source: RNAcentral
AUUGAACGCUGGCGGCAGGCCUAACACAUGCCAGUCGAGCGGAUGAAGGGAGCUUGCUCCUGGAUUCAGCGGCGGACGGGUGAGUAAUGCCUAGGAAUCUGCCUGGUAGUGGGGGAUAACGUCCGGAAACGGGCGCUAAUACCGCAUACGUCCUGAGGGAGAAAGUGGGGGAUCUUCGGACCUCACGCUAUCAGAUGAGCCUAGGUCGGAUUAGCUAGUUGGUGGGGUAAAGGCCUACCAAGGCGACGAUCCGUAACUGGUCUGAGAGGAUGAUCAGUCACACUGGAACUGAGACACGGUCCAGACUCCUACGGGAGGCAGCAGUGGGGAAUAUUGGACGAUGGGCGAAAGCCUGAUCCAGCCAUGCCGCGUGUGUGAAGAAGGUCUUCGGAUUGUAAAGCACUUUAAGUUGGGAGGAAGGGCAGUAAGUUAAUACCUUGCUGUUUUGACGUUACCAACAGAAUAAGCACCGGCUAACUUCGUG